CAGCCGCCGCGGUAAUACGUAGGUGGCAAGCGUUGUCCGGAGUUAUUGGGCGUAAAGGGCUCGCAGGCGGUUUCUUAAGUCUGAUGUGAAAGCCCCCGGCUCAACCGGGGAGGGUCAUUGGAAACUGGGAAACUUGAGUGCAGAAGAGGAGAGUGGAAUUCCACGUGUAGCGGUGAAAUGCGUAGAGAUGUGGAGGAACACCAGUGGCGAAGGCGACUCUCUGGUCUGUAACUGACGCUGAGGAGCGAAAGCGUGGGGAGCGAACAGGAUUAGAUACCCCCGUAGUCCCUGUCUCUUAUAC
Molecule: ribosomal RNA, 301 nt
Filed under: uncultured bacterium
Lineage: Bacteria
Description: partial 16S ribosomal RNA
Rfam family: Bacterial small subunit ribosomal RNA
Source: RNAcentral